CACAAUUAGGUUUUAAACGGCUACAGGUUUGAAGCCUGCACCCCGGACCUCCGAAGUUCAUCUGGGC
This is a non-coding RNA of Cordylochernes scorpioides, 67 nucleotides long. NCBI's taxonomy places the organism in Eukaryota, Metazoa, Arthropoda, Arachnida, Pseudoscorpiones, Chernetidae. The record is from the annotation of a GenBank genome assembly.